Molecule: transfer RNA, 72 nt
Filed under: Candidatus Nanopelagicales bacterium
Lineage: Bacteria; Bacillati; Actinomycetota; Actinomycetes; Candidatus Nanopelagicales
Also listed under: 1 other name
Description: tRNA-Thr
Rfam family: tRNA
About the family: Transfer RNA (tRNA) molecules are approximately 80 nucleotides in length.
Source: RNAcentral
GCCACCUUAGCUCAGGGGUAGAGCAACGCACUCGUAAUGCGUAGGUCGUCAGUUCAAAUCUGACAGGUGGCU